UGGAGUGUUAAUGUUGCAAGAGGUUUGGAGUUCGAGUCCCUACAUGGGCAAAGGGGAUAAUUUUUUGCUUUUUGUUUCAGCAAGAGGUUGUUUUGACUGGGUUUCUGAGUAGUAGUGGUGUGGUGGGGGAGUGUUGGAGUGAUUUUAUGAGGAAAAUAUGGGAUUGGAGUGUUGGAGUGAUUUUAGGAGAAAAAUAUGGGAUUGUGGAGUUAUCUCGAUUUGGUGGACUGAUAAUUUCGGCUCUCACCUCUCUUUCUCUCAACUUUCUGUCAGUUUUUUUC
RNAcentral lists this long non-coding RNA (281 nucleotides) under Gossypium raimondii (Peruvian cotton). Its description in RNAcentral is "long non-coding RNA (GRAI_LNC000289)". Lineage: Eukaryota; Viridiplantae; Streptophyta; Magnoliopsida; Malvales; Malvaceae. The record is from RNAcentral.